GCCAGCAGCCAUAUCACCCUGCAACUCACAACUGGCAACUGAAGCUAAGCAGGUGUGAGCCUGGUCAGUACCUGGAUGGGAGACCUCCUGGGAAAAACUAAGGUUGCUGCUGGAA
RNAcentral lists this ribosomal RNA (115 nucleotides) under Lepisosteus oculatus (spotted gar). Lineage: Eukaryota; Metazoa; Chordata; Actinopteri; Semionotiformes; Lepisosteidae. The record is from RNAcentral.